GGUGUAUAGCGUGAUGCACUGGUCUCACGCCAUACUGAAAGGAAGUUUGGUCGCAAAUGAGCUGCAAACGAAGACUGGAAAAUAUCUGCAUGGCCCGCCUUGAAGCUCUUCCCAGCAAAAGAACGAUACAAGACUCACAUCUCGGUAGUAAAACAUUGCACACCGAAUACGUAUUCACUGCCAAGAGCACGAAAAUUGACCGAAAGAGAAAACUGAUCUAGCAGCAUUACCACUCCAUCGGUUGUAUAGUUGGGUUGCACAAGGCCUACUGCAAAUCGUUCCAUGCGAACAAUGUGGCAUGAAAA
Long non-coding RNA from Rhipicephalus microplus (southern cattle tick), 305 nucleotides. NCBI's taxonomy places the organism in Eukaryota, Metazoa, Arthropoda, Arachnida, Ixodida, Ixodidae. The record is from RefSeq and is a predicted model, not a curated record.